AUGACGGCCUCCUCAUCGAUCCUUCUGCACAGCUCCUCUUCACACAUGAGUUUCAACUUUUCCAGCAGGUGCUCCAUCACCAUGGCGUCGUACCCUCCACGCCGACGACCUCGACGACGCACCGCGUGCCCUUCUCCGGCAUUGGGCCAGGAGCUGAGCUCCGAAGACCGGCGACCGCGCGGCCAGGAGGAACCGGUGCCGCCGCCGGUCACGAAGAUGGCGCCGCCGCUGCCGGUCACGAUGGGCGCGUUGUCCACAUCGAGACGCAUCAUAAAGCACGCCACCGGGUCGUUCAGUUUCGAGGUGACCAACUACUCGCAGCUCAAGGACGCGGGCUUCCACGCGCGCGUCACUUCGCCCGUCUUCAGCUUCGGCGGCCAUGACUGGCAGAUCGCCUUCUACCCGGACGACGAGGACGGCCACGCCUCCUCCUACCUGCGUUAUCUCGGCCCAGCCAUGGAGGUGAGGGCCAAGUUCACGCUGAGCGUGACGGGGAAGGAGGGCCAGCCACCGCUAGUCCGCCGCGACACGCCGGAGCGCGUCUUCACUCCGGAACACUGCCGGAGAACAAGCCAGGGCUUCCUCAAAUUCGUCGCCAAGUCCAAGCUGGACGUAUCCCAUCUAUGUUGUGACUUAUUCUUCUUCUCACCCUAG
This 654-nucleotide ribosomal RNA is filed under the name Triticum aestivum (bread wheat). RNAcentral's name for it is "partial small subunit ribosomal RNA". The record is from RNAcentral. Lineage: Eukaryota; Viridiplantae; Streptophyta; Magnoliopsida; Poales; Poaceae.